This 69-nucleotide ribosomal RNA is filed under the name Staphylococcus aureus. Its description in RNAcentral is "partial 16S ribosomal RNA". It matches the Rfam family "Bacterial small subunit ribosomal RNA", at positions 1 to 65 of the family's 1533-position model. The record is from RNAcentral. Lineage: Bacteria; Bacillati; Bacillota; Bacilli; Caryophanales; Staphylococcaceae. RNAcentral also lists the same sequence under 2 other names.
AAUUUUUAUGGAGAGUUUGAUCCUGGCUCAGGAUGAACGCUGGCGGCGUGCCUAAUACAUGCAAGUCGA